AAGUCGUAACAAGGUUUCCGUAGGUGAACCUGCGGAAGGAUCAUUAAAGAGUAAGGGUCUCCGGCCCGAACCUCCAACCCUCUGUCGUUAUAACUACCAUUGUUGCUUUGGCGGGACCGUCCCUCGGGGCGCGUCGACCCACCGGUCGACGAGUGCCCGCCAGAGUCCAACCAAACUCUUGUAUUAAACCAGUCGUCUGAGUACAAAAUUUUAAUUAAAUUAAAACUUUCAACAACGGAUCUCUUGGUUCUC
Molecule: unclassified non-coding RNA, 252 nt
Filed under: Dothiora sp.
Lineage: Eukaryota; Fungi; Ascomycota; Dothideomycetes; Dothideales; Dothioraceae
Description: partial internal transcribed spacer region
Rfam family: Eukaryotic small subunit ribosomal RNA (bases 1-46)
Source: RNAcentral